UGCCAGCCGCCGCGGUAAUACGGAGGGGGUUAGCGUUGUUCGGAAUUACUGGGCGUAAAGCGUACGUAGGUGGUUAAAAAAGUUGAUGGUGAAAUCCCAAGGCUUAACCUUGGAACUGCCAUCAAAACUUUUUAGCUAGAGUAUGAUAGAGGAAAGUGGAAUUUCUAGUGUAGAGGUGAAAUUCGUAGAUAUUAGAAAGAACAUCAAAAGCGAAGGCAACUUUCUGGGUCAUUACUGACACUGAGGAGCGAAAGCAUGGGUAGCGAAGAGGAUUAGAUA
RNAcentral lists this ribosomal RNA (279 nucleotides) under uncultured bacterium. Its description in RNAcentral is "partial 16S ribosomal RNA". It matches the Rfam family "Bacterial small subunit ribosomal RNA", at positions 506 to 784 of the family's 1533-position model. The record is from RNAcentral.